This is a small nuclear RNA of Salvia hispanica, 106 nucleotides long. NCBI's taxonomy places the organism in Eukaryota, Viridiplantae, Streptophyta, Magnoliopsida, Lamiales, Lamiaceae. The record is from RefSeq and is a predicted model, not a curated record.
GUUGUUAAAUUCAUUCGCGACAUUCAACAAAAUUGGAACGAUAUAGUGAAGAUGAGCAUGACACACGAAAAAAUGACAUGCAUAAAUCAAGAAUUAUAUUGUUAUU